GCAGAUGUAGUUCAAUGGUAGAACUUCAGCCUUCCAAGCUGACUACGUCGGUCCGAUUCCGAUCAUCUGCUCCA
This 74-nucleotide transfer RNA is filed under the name Mycoplasmataceae bacterium. Its description in RNAcentral is "tRNA-Gly". It matches the Rfam family "tRNA". Rfam says of the family: Transfer RNA (tRNA) molecules are approximately 80 nucleotides in length. The record is from RNAcentral. Lineage: Bacteria; Bacillati; Mycoplasmatota; Mollicutes; Mycoplasmatales; Mycoplasmataceae.